Molecule: ribosomal RNA, 253 nt
Filed under: uncultured Gemmatimonas sp.
Lineage: Bacteria; Pseudomonadati; Gemmatimonadota; Gemmatimonadia; Gemmatimonadales; Gemmatimonadaceae
Description: partial 16S ribosomal RNA
Rfam family: Bacterial small subunit ribosomal RNA
Source: RNAcentral
UACAGAGGGUGCGAGCGUUGUCCGGAAUCACUGGGCGUAAAGGGCGAGUAGGUGGCGGGAUAAGUGUGUGGUGAAAGCUCGGGGCUCAACCCCGAGUCUGCCAUGCAAACUGUCUUGCUCGAGCGUAGUAGAGGCAGGUGGAAUUCCGGGUGUAGCGGUGGAAUGCGUAGAGAUCCGGAAGAACACCGGUGGCGAAGGCGGCCUGCUGGGCUACUGCUGACACUGAAUCGCGACAGCGUGGGGAGCAAACAGG